Molecule: long non-coding RNA, 911 nt
Filed under: Pan troglodytes (chimpanzee)
Lineage: Eukaryota; Metazoa; Chordata; Mammalia; Primates; Hominidae
Description: lncRNA (ENSPTRG00000053090.1)
Source: RNAcentral
CAUUCUCAUGCUGAUAAUAAAAACAUACCCUAGACUGGGUCAUUUAUAAAGGAAAGAAGUUUAAUUGACUCAGUUCCACAGGGCUGGGGAGGCCUCAGGAAACUUACAAUCAUGACAGAGGUGGAAGCAAACAUGCCCUUCUUCACAUGGCGGCAGCAAGGAAAAGUGCAGAGUGAAGUGGGGGAAAGCCCCUUAUAAAACCAUCAGAUCUCAUGAGAACUUACUAUCACAAGAACAGUAUGGAGGUGACAGCCCCCAUGAUUCAAUUACCUCCCAUCGGGACCCUCCUAUGACAAGUACGAAUUAUGAGAACUACAGUUCAAAAUGAGAUUUGGGUGGGAACACAGCCAAAUCACACCAGUGUAUAAGUAACUAUGAUCCCAAAUUGUUCACGUCAAAAAUAAUGUGAGAAUCUGCCCUUUACUUAGUACUUGAUGAAAAAAAUAGUUCACAAACAGAGUUUUAAGAAAUCUAACACAUUGUUCGUUACCAUUUUUUUCUGCUUGAAACACUUUUUAUUUUGUCUUUAUUUCUUACAGCCCAUCAUUUCUUCAAGGUCCAAUUAAAUUUUUGGGUGUUCCAUAACACCUUACCUUAGUCCCAAACGAUGAUGGUUGUGUGACCAUCUGUGAUAUAACACAUGAACUCUUUACAACAGAGUGAUAACUCCUUACUCAAUGUAUAAAGUGCAGAUUUUGAUCAACAUUUCCAAGACGGCAAUGUAAAGAAAAAUAGAUUCUGCUAGUUAAAAUGAGGAAAGUGCAGCUGGUCAUAGUCAUUCUCUUAUUAGGUUUUUGCUGUCCCCCAUUACUGGGGAAAAGAGAAUUGGCUUCAAGUAUCCCUGGGCAUCAGGUAUUUCCAAAGAAAAAGAAACUAGAUAUGCAGCUCCUAGAUAUUAGAAGCUAGUAAAU